Molecule: ribosomal RNA, 1318 nt
Filed under: metagenome
Description: bacterial SSU rRNA
Rfam family: Bacterial small subunit ribosomal RNA
Source: RNAcentral
AGGCUCAGGAUGAACGCUGGCGCGUGCUUAACACAUGCAAGUCGAACGAGCCUUCGGGCUAGUGGCGGACGGGUGAGUAACGCGUGAGAAUCUGCCCUCAGGAGGGGGAUAACGGCUGGAAACGGCCGCUAAUACCCCAUAUGCCGCGAGGUGAAAUGAGAAAUCGCCUGAGGAUGAGCUCGCGUCUGAUUAGCUAGUUGGGGGGGUAAGAGCCUACCAAGGCAUCGAUCAGUAGCUGGUCUGAGAGGAUGAUCAGCCACACUGGGACUGAGACACGGCCCAGACUCCUACGGGAGGCAGCAGUGGGGAAUUCUCCGCAAUGGGCGCAAGCCUGACGGAGCAACGCCGCGUGAGGGAUGAAGGCCUCUGGGCUGUAAACCUCUUUUCUCAAGGAAGAAGAACUGACGGUACUUGAGGAAUAAGCCACGGCUAAUUCCGUGCCAGCAGCCGCGGUAAUACGGGAGUGGCAAGCGUUAUCCGGAAUUAUUGGGCGUAAAGCGUCCGCAGGCGGUCUUGAAAGUCUGUUGUUAAAGCGUGGAGCUCAACUCCAUUUCAGCAAUGGAAACUAGAAGACUAGAGUGUGGUAGGGGCAGAGGGAAUUCCCGGUGUAGCGGUGAAAUGCGUAGAUAUCGGGAAGAACACCAGUGGCGAAGGCGCUCUGCUGGGCCAUAACUGACGCUCAUGGACGAAAGCCAGGGGAGCGAAAGGGAUUAGAUACCCCUGUAGUCCUGGCCGUAAACGAUGAACACUAGGUGUCGGGGGAAUCGACCCCCUCGGUGUCGUAGCCAACGCGUUAAGUGUUCCGCCUGGGGAGUACGCACGCAAGUGUGAAACUCAAAGGAAUUGACGGGGGCCCGCACAAGCGGUGGAGUAUGUGGUUUAAUUCGAUGCAACGCGAAGAACCUUACCAGGGUUUGACAUCCUGCGAAUCUUUUGGAAACAGAAGAGUGCCUUCGGGAGCGCAGAGACAGGUGGUGCAUGGCUGUCGUCAGCUCGUGUCGUGAGAUGUUGGGUUAAGUCCCGCAACGAGCGCAACCCACGUCUUUAGUUGCCAGCAUUGAGUUGGGCACUCUAGAGAGACCGCCGGUGAUAAACCGGAGGAAGGUGUGGAUGACGUCAAGUCAUCAGGCCCCUUACAUCCUGGGCUACACACGUACUACAAUGCUACGGACAGAGGGCAGCAAACUCGCGAGAGCUAGCAAAUCCCAUAAACCGUGGCUCAGUUCAGAUCGUAGGCUGCAACUCGCCUACGUGAAGGAGGAAUCGCUAGUAAUCGCAGGUCAGCAUACUGCGGUGAAUACGUUCCCGGGCCUUGUAC